This 2050-nucleotide long non-coding RNA is filed under the name Homo sapiens (human). Its description in RNAcentral is "HSALNT0016675". Lineage: Eukaryota; Metazoa; Chordata; Mammalia; Primates; Hominidae. The record is from RNAcentral.
CUGCCAUGUGAGACACCUGCUCUCACUUAGCCUGCUGUCAUAAGCAAAAGCUUUCUGAGUCCUCACCAGAAGUGAGUAGACGCCAGUGGGAUGCUUCCUGUGCAGCCUGCAGAACUGUGAGCCAAUUUAACCUCUAUUCUUUAUAAAUUACCCAGACUUGGGUAUUUCUUUAUAGCAAUGCAAGAAUGACCUAAGACAUCCUAAGAGGGGCAAUAAAUAUUUUUGAACAAUAACAAAAUAUACCACAAGGAGUUUAUCUUUUUAUUACUUAAUUUUUUUACAGCCUUCCUUCUCUCCCUUUACAAGGAGUUAAAUGAUUUGUCCCAAAUCACACAACUAGCAAGUGACAGGAUAAAAACUUGAAAGGAGAUUAUUUGACUUAUAAAUCCAGUUUCUCUUCAUUUCAUCAUAAAGCAGACUGACUAUCAGAGGGAAUAAUGGAGUGACUAUGAAGCAACCGUUCUCUAAUGCCCUUAACUGACCCAGCAGCCAAAAACAUCUGAAGAGGUGGAGAACAAAUGAGAUAAGUGAUUUCUUAAGGAGAAUACGUGUGGAUCAUGGACUAGAAUAAUGACAAUGGGAAUGGGGAAAACUAGUUGGAUCAAAGAAAUAUUUUGGAGCCAGAUUUUCUUCAAAUAUGUCAAUUAAGACUACGUAUCACAACAGAUUGAAUGCUGAAGUGGACAGAAAAACCCACUGUCUUUCUUUAAAUCAGAAAACUACCUUGGACUACGAGGGUGUGGGGUGAGCCAGCCAUUACCCCCACCCUGAAGCCUGUCCCCCUUUUCUUCUCCAUGGACUACAAGGGGUCUUGAGGGCAUGCAGGUGAACACCCAGAUCACAAGUCCAAGCAGAUACCCACCUGCUGCAAACAGCUACCUAUUGGCCACCUUUUGGGCCUAGGGGUAUGCAUAUCUACAGCGACAUCCACUUUCAGAAGGACAGACACUUUGAAGAAACCUAUGUAGGCCCUGGAGGCAGGAUUUGGACCAUUUGGGCAAGAAAUCCAGGGUUCCAGAUAUUAAUGAGAAAGAGUUCGUCCUUCCCGUAACGUUUUCUCUAAAGGAAAAAGAAGAUCUGAUAGGGUUAAGUGACUUCUCCAGGGCUCCACAGUGGCAAGUGGCAAAGGCGGGGUUAGGAGACCAGACUUCUGACUUUACGGGGCUAUGCCUGUGUUUCAUGCUGCUUCCCCCUAGUCUGAUAUUGUAAAGGAGUCACCAAAUCUAUGUCUCCAGCUGAGAUGAGAAGAAAUUGGAUUUCCUGAGAAUCAUGAUAGCUGCCUCUUACUAAACCCUGGCUAUGCUCAGGCACCAUUCCAAGAACUUUAAGUAUAUGAUCUCUAACAAUAACAACCUGGCAAUGUAAGUAUUGUUAUUCUCUUCUUACAUAUGUGACAAUGACAAUUCAGAGUUGUUAGGUAACUAUUCCAAUUAUAAACUUCAAUAAAUGUCAAUAUGUGUGUGUGUGUACACAUAUAUGUAUACACAUACAUAUAUACACAUAUAUGCACACACAUACAUAUAUACAUAUAUGCACACACAUACAUAUAUACAUAUAUGCACACACAUACAUAUAUACACAUAUAUGUGCACACACAUACAUAUAUACACAUAUAUGUGUACACACAUACAUAUAUACACAUAUAUGUGUACACACAUGCAUAUAUACACACAUAUAUGUGUACACACAUGCAUAUAUACACACAUAUAUGUGUACACACAUGCAUAUAUACACACAUAUAUGUGUACACACAUGCAUAUAUACACACAUAUAUGUGUACACACAUGCACAUAUAUACACAUAUAUGUGUACACACAUGCCCAUAUAUACACAUAUAUGUGUACACACAUGCAUAUAUAUACACAUAUAUGUGUACACACAUGCAUAUAUAUACACAUAUAUGUGUGCACACAUGCAUAUAUAUACACAUAUAUGUGUGCACACAUACAUAUAUUUAUAUAUUCCUGCCUAUGUUCAUGUAAAAUUGUGACAAGAUUCCACCAAAUUGCCCUUCAAAAAGGAUUGCACAAAAUCGAUUGUGACUUUUCCC